This is an RNA transcript of Sorghum bicolor (sorghum), 1518 nucleotides long. RefSeq lists it as uncharacterized. NCBI's taxonomy places the organism in Eukaryota, Viridiplantae, Streptophyta, Magnoliopsida, Poales, Poaceae. The transcript is spliced from 4 exons. The record is from RefSeq and is a predicted model, not a curated record.
CUGCACAGGUAUCACAACGGGGUGGUGGCGCAGUUGGCUAGCGCGUAGGUCUCAUAGCUGUUGAGUAAUCCUGAGGUCGAGAGUUCGAGCCUCUCUCACCCCAAAUAAAUUGGCCAGAACGAUGAUGAAAUGCUCAGUGACACAUGGGUCGUCACGACUUGUCAUCUUCGCAGAUGAUUCGAGCACCUCUGAGCUUUGGCACAAUUCUCUUUUUUUUUUCCCUACUCAGCUGCCCGCUACCGCUGCACUCUUCACGAUCGCUGCGCCAUCACCUCCUUCUCCGCUCCCAAAACCUAACCCCUACCCCUCUCCUCCAGCGAGGAUCCAGCUGCGAUGCGCCCCUUUGCCGGACCAGGAGGGGUGGAGGAGGAGGCGGUGGGCUUCGUCACCGGUAAGAGGAAGGCCACCGAGGUAGCCCACGCGCAGGUUCGAAUUCUUCUGAAACUACCAAGUAGCUACCCAGUGCAAUUUUAGCCCCAGUUAGCUAAUUUUGUGUUUGGGUUGAGUGUGCUCAGCACGUAUUAUGGUUAGGUUCUGGAGAAAUAUUGUUCAGAAAGGGGAUACGGUGGUUGAUACCACAUGCGAGAAUGGCCGUGGCACACUCACUCUGCUUAAGAUGGUGGCCGAUGAAGCAGGCCACGGGCAUGUCCGCAUGUUUAUGGGAUAGACAUUCAAGAUUCUGCGAUAGAGAGUACUUCCUCAUUUCUGAAAAUGGCUGUGGAUGAGGAACAUUAGGUGUGGAUUUGAACUAUGAAGAUUGUACUUUUAAUUUCCCCCGAAGAAGGAAAGAACAAAAAAUGAAUCAAUAUAACAAGGAGAAGGCAUUCACUGAUUUUAGAUGUUGGUGAGCAGUGCUUUGGUUGCUGCAAAUCAUGCAACUUGAUCGACAGUUCAAUAACUCCAUUUCCACCGAUUGUCUGCAUGUUUCUAGCAUGGCAUGUGAUGGCUAUUUCGCAGUAUCUGCACGCACUGUCUAGUUGGCCUACAGUCAAUUUCUGCUCACAUGUGUCUAGUUUUUGCCAGAGAGUUCUGACCUUUGUUGUAAAUCCAUCAAGGCUGGUAUCCCUGUUCUCGCUUCAGUAAUGCAAAUCUCCAUGCAGUACUUCUUUUUAACAGACAUGACUAUUUCCACAGUGGUAAGCUGUGGGCUUAGGAUAUGAUGGACAUUUGGACAUGAUUAUUUACUGAAAUUUUGCAAUUGUGCAGGGUUGAAUUAUAGUAUUUAAGUUUCAUAUUUGGUUGAACACCAUGAUGUAUCCUUGUCUGUUCACCAUGGAUUCAUUGUAAGGCCUGGAGGAACAGUGGAAUGUUAAUGCGGACACUAUAGGAAAUGGCAAUAUUUGCACCGCCUAAAAGCAGUAAAGAUUUGGUUCUCAGGAUCAAAAAAAGGUCUCUGCACUUGUCCUACAACCUAUACAAUCCACUAUUACUUUACAUGCAUUUUAGAAGCUGCAAACAGCAACCUGCUGAAUAACUCCUGCAGAUGGUGCCACACAACUUGCAUAGAUACAUGGCGAU